This 498-nucleotide ribosomal RNA is filed under the name uncultured Glomus. RNAcentral's name for it is "SSU rRNA". It matches the Rfam family "Eukaryotic small subunit ribosomal RNA", at positions 569 to 1072 of the family's 1831-position model. Lineage: Eukaryota; Fungi; Glomeromycota; Glomeromycetes; Glomerales; Glomeraceae. The record is from RNAcentral.
AGCAGCCGCGGUAAUUCCAGCUCCAAUAGCGUAUAUUAAAGUUGUUGCAGUUAAAAAGCUCGUAGUUGAACUUCGGGAUCAAUUGAUUGGUCAUGCCUUGGUAUGUACUGUUCAUAUUGGUUCUCACCUUCUAAUGAACCAUAAUGUCAUUUAUUUGAUGUUAUGGGGAAUUAGGACUGUUACCUUGAAAAAAUUAGAGUGUUUAAAGCAGGCUCACGCUUGAAUACAUUAGCAUGGAAUAAUGAAAUAGGACAUCGCAUUCUAUUUUGUUGGUUUCUAGGAUCGAUGUAAUGAUUAAUAGGGAUAGUUGGGGGCAUUAGUAUUCAAUUGUCAGAGGUGAAAUUCUUGGAUUUAUUGAAGACUAACUACUGCGAAAGCAUUUGCCAAGGAUGUUUUCAUUAAUCAAGAACGAAAGUUAGGGGAUCGAAGACGAUCAGAUACCGUCGUAGUCUUAACCAUAAACUAUGCCGACUAGGGAUCGGAUGAUGUUGAUUUUUU